Salmo salar (Atlantic salmon) is the source of this 860-nucleotide non-coding RNA. Lineage: Eukaryota; Metazoa; Chordata; Actinopteri; Salmoniformes; Salmonidae. The record is from RefSeq and is a predicted model, not a curated record.
CUGUUGUUCUGCCCCUGAACAAGGCACUGUUCCCCAUCAUUGUAAAUAAGAAUUUGUUCUUAACUGAUUUGCCUGUUUAAAAAAAAAAGUUAUGUUCUGCAUACCCUUAAAAGAGGGGACCUCUCUGUGUCCCAAGUGGCACCCUAUUCCUCAUAUAGUGCACUACUUUUGUCCAGAGCUCGAUGGGCCCUGGUCAAAAGUAGUGCACUGUAAAGGAAAAAGAGUGCCAUUUGGGGUACAUACUCUGUCAUCAGUGAAGAUGUCUGUCUAUGUGGGCUGUAUGGGCGUAGGUUGGUUGGUGUAUCUCAGAGACAGAAGGAGAGAUCGCUGUAGAGGGACUGUUAGACCUCUUCCUGUGGUUUACACCACGUGACUACGAAGCUUAAUAAGAACACCUCUGUUAGUUCACACUUCUGUUUCUGCUGGGAUAGAGGAGAGAAAGAUGUUAGUUCCUGUUUUGAAUUUGCUCAACGGAUUGGACUGAGAAGGGGUUCUGAGCAGAACCAAACACGAAGCUGCCACAGCAACGAGAAGAUACUGAUGUACAGUGCAGUCAUCCAUAAAGUAGAGAGUACUACUAAACUCCUCUGCACAGUGUAGUGUUUCCUACUUUAUGGAUGACUGUACUGUUGGCUACGGAGGAAAAUACUACAAGGACUCCAUUGACAUCAAUGAACAAUUCUGAAAAGCUUGGAGACCAUGGUCUAUUUUUAAGUUGUAUUAAAUUUUUGUACUAGAAAUGCAGUCCUAUGAAUAAAUGUUAAGUUCCCGUUAAGUAUUCAGUCAUGUUUCUCAAAUGAAAGUAGAUUUGAUUGCAGUAUUGUACUAAUGAAAAUAAAUAAAUUGUGUUUCUUGCUUUC